Molecule: ribosomal RNA, 253 nt
Filed under: uncultured bacterium
Lineage: Bacteria
Description: partial 16S ribosomal RNA
Rfam family: Bacterial small subunit ribosomal RNA
Source: RNAcentral
UACGGGGGGGGCAAGCGUUGUUCGGAAUUACUGGGCGUAAAGGGCCAGUAGGCGGCCAACUAAGUCCGACGUGAAAUCCCAAGGCUUAACCUUGGAACUGCGUCGGAUACUGGAUGGCUUGAAUUCGGGAGAGGGAUGCAGAAUUCCAGGUGUAGCGGUGAAAUGCGUAGAUAUUGGGAAGAACACCGAUGGCGAAGGCAGCCAUCUGGACCGACACUGACGCUGAGGCGCGAAAGCGUGGGGAGCAAACAGG